AAAUAUCUUAGCAGCAGAUACACCACAUGCCAGCAACCCAAUAAUGAUUAUUUUAGGGUUAUCUGUCCCUAUUGUUGUACUGGCUAUAUUCACUGUCGGAAUUUGUUUGCGGAGACGGAAUAUUUUAACUAAGCAUAUUAUAGUUGAGGGGAAUAACAACAAUGUGCCUGUCCAUGAUUUCAUCAAAAAGAAAAGAUCAGGAAAUGUAAUUAUGACGGGUUUCUCUGCCACCAAACCUGUCAAGAAAAGAAAGAAACGAGGGUGGUCUCUUCCGUGUAGAAUUAUUCUGGAGAAACAAAAGAAUGAGCAUAACAUUGAGCAGAAAACGAAGAAACUUGGAAGGUUUAUUGAAGACACUGAUACUUUAAAGGAACGUCUUAGAGUGAAAAACAGACUUAGGCGCGGAGAAAGCUUUUGAUACUAAUUUCAUGAAGUUAUAAGUUUUCUUAUUGCUGUUGUCAUUUCUAUCGAACAUCAUUUUGCUUGUACAAUUUUAUGUUUUGCAAAAUAUCGUGUCGAUGUAUUUGAUAGAAUAAUUGAUAAUUUAAAUAUAGUUGACGAUAAAUACCCUGUUCAUUUGAAUAUUUUGACAGGACAUAAUAUUUUAUAAUUUGGUUCGAACGAGAACACAUAAAGAAAAACAUAUGAUUAGGAUAAAAUUCGUUCUUCUAAUAAUAUGAUAAUGUCAGCAUAUAGCGUUUUAUCUUACCUCCUAUACAUUUCUAGGAAUAUGAUUGGUUAAAAGCGUCCGCGUGGAGACCGUGUAUAUUCCAUAUUAGGUUAGUAGGGAGGCGGGGCUUAUUUCAUACACGGUUAGUGGUGUUACGUCCCUUUAUAAAAACAAAACGGUACUGAGAAAAAAUCUUAAAGGUUUCAACAGACGAAGAAAUUGAUGAUGAAGAUUGAAAUAAAUUCAUAAAACACAUUUAAACCUAAGAAGUUGUUAUUGUUGGCAUCUGUUUUUGUAGGAUCAAUGGAAGUAGUUUCUUAAUGCUAACGGUAUUGAAGACUUGCUCAUUUUGAUAGGUCACUAGUCUAAAUUUCACACGUUAAGAUAGUCGGUAAGAUAAAUUCGUUACAUAGUGUGCUAGUGACGUAAUACGGUAUA
Long non-coding RNA from Mytilus californianus (California mussel), 1108 nucleotides. RefSeq lists it as uncharacterized. The record is from RefSeq and is a predicted model, not a curated record. The transcript has 3 exons. Lineage: Eukaryota; Metazoa; Mollusca; Bivalvia; Mytilida; Mytilidae.